CAGCAGCCACGGUAAUACGUAGGGUGCAAGCGUUAAUCGGAAUUAUUGGGCGUAAAGCGAGUGCAGACGAUUACUUAAGCCAGAUGUGAAAUCCCCAAGCUUAACUUGGGACGCGCAUUUGAAACUGGGUGACUAGAGUGUGUCAGAGGGAGGUAGAAUUCCACAUGUAGCGGUGAAAUGCGUAGAGAUGUGGAGGAACACCAGUGGCGAAGGCGACUCUCUGGUCUGUAACUGACGCUGAGGAGCGAAAGCGUGGGGAGCGAACAGGAUUAGAGACCCCUGUAGUCCCUGUCUCUUAUAC
RNAcentral lists this ribosomal RNA (301 nucleotides) under uncultured bacterium. RNAcentral's name for it is "partial 16S ribosomal RNA". It matches the Rfam family "Bacterial small subunit ribosomal RNA", at positions 509 to 807 of the family's 1533-position model. The record is from RNAcentral.